CCUACGGGGGGCUGCAGUCGAGGAUCUUCGGCAAUGGGCGCAAGCCUGACCGAGCGACGCCGCGUGGGCGAUGAAGGCCUUCGGGUUGUAAAGCCCUGUCGAGGGGGAGAAAGGGAAACUUGAUCUAUCCCUGGAGGAAGCACGGGCUAAGUUCGUGCCAGCAGCCGCGGUAAGACGAACCGUGCGAACGUUGUUCGGAAUCACUGGGCUUAAAGGGCGCGUAGGCGGGCCGCCAAGUCUGUGGUGAAAUCCCCCGGCUCAACCGGGGAACUGCCGUGGAUACUGGAGGUCUCGAGGGAGGUAGGGGCAUGCGGAACUACGGGUGGAGCGGUGAAAUGCGUUGAUAUCCGUAGGAACUCCGGUGGCGAAGGCGGCGUGCUGGACCUUUUCUGACGCUGAGGCGCGAAAGCCAGGGGAGCGAACGGGAUUAGAUACCCUAGUAGUC
RNAcentral lists this ribosomal RNA (445 nucleotides) under uncultured bacterium. RNAcentral's name for it is "bacterial SSU rRNA". It matches the Rfam family "Bacterial small subunit ribosomal RNA", at positions 338 to 795 of the family's 1533-position model. The record is from RNAcentral.